UAAAGAUGAACUAAAGAGGGGGAAUCUGAUACAUAAAGAGCCUUAAAAUUAAAAUCUUCGAAUACAAUUUCGUCGAUUGAACGUUGUAUGGAAGGGAUAUUGAAAAGGGGUUCAGUAAGAAGUAGAGAAGAGUGUGAAGGAGUAAUUUUGAGAAGGUUCGAGAAGAUGUGAGACCAAAUGGAAGAUUGGAGAUCAGGGUUGAUAAGAUAACCGCGGUCGAAAGGGCGGCGGGCGGUGGCUGAAGUGAGGUCGACGUCUGGGGAAAGAAGCUGGUCAGCCAUAAGCCAUUUCUUGGAAGAAAGUGGACGGCCCAUGCUGUUGGGGACAAUAGCUGUUGGAUCUCUUUCGCCGCCGAUACCAGCCUUGAUUACGCCGGCGCCGUUGUCCAAAACUACAACAUUCGACAUUUCCGAUUGCCACACUAACUGAACACCCAGCUUCCUAAUUUAUGGCGCAAUGAAUUAAAUCCAUCGGCAUGAUAAUUGAUUUUUUGGGACGAAUUGAAGUGAGAAUUAUGUUGAAAGAAAAAAGCGG
RNAcentral lists this unclassified non-coding RNA (534 nucleotides) under Hevea brasiliensis (rubber tree). Lineage: Eukaryota; Viridiplantae; Streptophyta; Magnoliopsida; Malpighiales; Euphorbiaceae. The record is from RNAcentral.